RNAcentral lists this unclassified non-coding RNA (222 nucleotides) under uncultured fungus. RNAcentral describes it as "sequence contains ITS1". It matches the Rfam family "Bacterial large subunit ribosomal RNA", at positions 2334 to 2497 of the family's 2925-position model. The record is from RNAcentral. Lineage: Eukaryota; Fungi.
GAAAUGCGAUACUUGGUGUGAAUUGCAGAAUCCCGUGAACCAUCGAGUCUUUGAACGCAAGUUGCGCCCGAAGCCAUUAGGCCGAGGGCACGCCUGACUGCGAGACUGACAAGUCGAGCAGAGACGAAAGUCGGCCAUAGUGAUCCGGUGGUCCCGAGUGGAAGGGCCAUCGCUCAACGGAUAAAAGGUACUCUAGGGAUAACAGGCUGAACGCAUCGCACU